GAUGAACGCUGGCGGCGUGCCUAAUACAUGCAAGUCGAGCGAAUGGAUUAAGAGCUUGCUCUUAUGAAGUUAGCGGCGGACGGGUGAGUAACACGUGGGUAACCUGCCCAUAAGACUGGGAUAACUCCGGGAAACCGGGGCUAAUACCGGAUAAUAUUUUGAACUGCAUGGUUCAAAAUUGAAAGGCGGCUUCGGCUGUCACUUAUGGAUGGACCCGCGUCGCAUUAGCUAGUUGGUGAGGUAACGGCCCACCAAGGCAACGAUGCGUAGCCGACCUGAGAGGGUGAUCGGCCACACUGGGACUGAGCAACGGCCCAGACUCCUACGGGAGGCAGCAGUAGGGAAUCUUCCGCAAUGGACGAAAGUCUGAUGGAGCAACGCCGCGUGAGUGAUGAAGGCUUUCGGGUCGUAAAACUCUGUUGUUAGGGAAGAACAAGUGCUAGUUGAAUAAGCUGGCACCUUGACGGUACCUAACCAGAAAGCCACGGCUAACUACGUGCCAGCAGCCGCCGUAA
This 515-nucleotide ribosomal RNA is filed under the name uncultured bacterium. RNAcentral describes it as "partial 16S ribosomal RNA". It matches the Rfam family "Bacterial small subunit ribosomal RNA", at positions 28 to 523 of the family's 1533-position model. The record is from RNAcentral.